This 402-nucleotide ribosomal RNA is filed under the name bacterium. RNAcentral describes it as "partial 16S ribosomal RNA". It matches the Rfam family "Bacterial small subunit ribosomal RNA", at positions 355 to 776 of the family's 1533-position model. The record is from RNAcentral.
UGGGGAAUUUUGCACAAUGGGGGAAACCCUGAUGCAGCGACGCCGCGUGAUUUAGAAGGCCUUCGGGUUGUAAAAAUCUUUUCUAUGGGAAGAAAAUGACAGUACAAUAGGAAUAAGUACCGGCUACUUACGUGCCAGCAGCCGCGGUAAUACGUAAGGUCCGAGCGUUGUCCGGAAUCAUUGGGCGUAAAGGGUACGUAGGCGGGUAAGCAAGUUAGAAGGGAAAUCCUAUAGCUCAACUAUAGUAAGCUUUUAAAACUGAUCAUCUUGAGUUAUGGAAGGGAAAGUGGAAUUCAUAGUGUAGCGGUGAAAUGCGCAGAUAUUAGGAGGAAUGCCGGUGGCGAAGGCGACUUUCUGGCCAUAACCUGACGCUGAGGUACGAAAGCGUGGGUAGCAAACAGG